GCGGUCGUGUGAUGAUCAAAGUUAUCCCUGUCUGAGUACUGUUGAGGAUAAGAUGACUACUGACGACUAC
Oesophagostomum dentatum (nodular worm) is the source of this 70-nucleotide non-coding RNA. The record is from Rfam. NCBI's taxonomy places the organism in Eukaryota, Metazoa, Nematoda, Chromadorea, Rhabditida, Strongylidae.